Molecule: long non-coding RNA, 1125 nt
Filed under: Anas platyrhynchos platyrhynchos (common mallard)
Lineage: Eukaryota; Metazoa; Chordata; Aves; Anseriformes; Anatidae
Description: lncRNA (ENSAPLG00000024259.1)
Source: RNAcentral
GCUCGAAUGUAAACAUAGAAGGUAGGACCGUGCACGCUUCGCCGCUCGUUUGUUCGCCGAGACUGAAAGAAGGCGUGCUGACAGCUCCCACCCCAGCCCGCUCCUUCGCGGGGAAAACAGCCGUCAGUCUCCAGGCCCACCGAGGAGACCGAGCAGGGAAUUCAAUCAGCAUCAGCCGCCCUGGUGCUGAAAUGAAGCAGCUCGCAUGUUAUUAAUCACGCUGGGAAGGCGCUGGAGGAGCGGAAAGAAAGGAGUGGCGAGGCUGGGUGCACGGAGGGGGGACACACACGGACUCUGUUACAAACACCUGGGAAAAUCGUGCAAGGCCCCAGCAGUAAAAGCAAAAUACUCGGGAGCUCUGCGAGGACAGAGAGCUGUGCCCUCUCAGAUAUUGGUGCUGGGCCUGGGAUUACGUAGGUAGAUACAGGGGGUUGUUCCAGCCCAAACAGCAGGAAUGUCUGACCCCUCAUCUACCUGCUGACUUCCUCCCUACAUCACUGCAGACUGUGUCCCCAACACCUGACACCUUCCCUGUAGGACAGGGAUUUGUGAAGGACUUUUGUCAGAGCUCUUGCCUUGGUGUGGCUUGCUGCGGUGCUUUUGGAGUGAUGGCUGAAAGCCUUGGUGUACAUGAGUUGCAUGCAGAGUAAGCUUUGAACUGUACAAACUGCAUGCAAACUAGUGGUGUAAUUGCAUGCAAACUGGUGCUUUGCACUGAUUAAUUUUUUUAAAAGGCCCAAUUUCUCCACUGCUUCACACCAUAUGUUGUCACUUACACUGAUGGGAAGUGAAUAUAAAUUGACACCUUUCUGAUUUGGUAGCAUUUUGUGGUGGCUUUGCAUUGGCACAAAAGCAAGUACAUGCUGCAAAGCUGCUGGUUCCCCUGCCUGAAGACAGCUAGAUGAAUUUCACAGCUAACGCCUGCCUGGAAAAACAGAACAGUAAACGCAGUGAGGUCACAAGUUUUCUUUGCACUGCAGAGAACAAGUGAUGCUCCUGAAAAACUGGCAAAACAGUCCAUGACCUUAACUCUUUUCCAACAUCAAUUCAUUUUUCUCCUAGUUUAAUGUUGAAAACUAAGUUGUAACUCAAUCAUUGGCCAUGGAAUUCAUCCCAGAAGAAAUG